UAUUCUGCCCCACGGGGAAGGAUGAGAAGCUUCGACUAAGGUUCGACUCGAGCGAAGCGAGAGAACGUUGCCGCAGGCAACGGCCCGAAGGGCGAGGAGCGAUAGCGACGAGUUAUCCUUCCCCCACC
Molecule: small RNA, 128 nt
Filed under: Klebsiella pneumoniae
Lineage: Bacteria; Pseudomonadati; Pseudomonadota; Gammaproteobacteria; Enterobacterales; Enterobacteriaceae
Description: partial RtT sRNA
Rfam family: RtT RNA
About the family: This family represents a bacterial cis-regulatory element known as RtT RNA. The exact function of RtT is unknown although it is thought that it may be involved in changing the cellular response in relation to amino acid starvation.
Source: RNAcentral